This 726-nucleotide ribosomal RNA is filed under the name Gordonia sp. (in: high G+C Gram-positive bacteria). Its description in RNAcentral is "bacterial SSU rRNA". It matches the Rfam family "Bacterial small subunit ribosomal RNA", at positions 80 to 818 of the family's 1533-position model. The record is from RNAcentral. Lineage: Bacteria; Bacillati; Actinomycetota; Actinomycetes; Mycobacteriales; Gordoniaceae.
UUGCUGGGUACUCGAGUGGCGAACGGGAGAAAAACGCGGGGGUGAUCUGCCCUGCACUCUGGGAUAAGCCUGGGAAACUGGGUCUAAUACCGGAUAUGACCAUGGGAUGCAUGUUCUGUGGUGGAAAGCUUUUGCGGUGUGGGAUGGGCCCGCGGCCUAUCAGCUUGUUGGUGGGGUAAUGGCCUACCAAGGGGACGACGGGUAGCCGACCUGAGAGGGUGAUCGGCCACACUGGGACUGAGACACGGCCCAGACUCCUACGGGAGGCAGCAGUGGGGAAUAUUGCACAAUGGGCGCAAGCCUGAUGCAGCGACGCCGCGUGAGGGAUGACGGCCUUCGGGUUGUAAACCUCUUUCACCAGGGACGAAGCGUGAGUGACGGUACCUGGAGAAGAAGCACCGGCCAACUACGUGCCAGCAGCCGCGGUAAUACGUAGGGUGCGAGCGUUGUCCGGAAUUACUGGGCGUAAAGAGCUCGUAGGCGGUUUGUCGCGUCGUCUGUGAAAUUCUGCAACUCAAUUGUAGGCGUGCAGGCGAUACGGGCAGACUUGAGUACUACAGGGGAGACUGGAAUUCCUGGUGUAGCGGUGAAAUGCGCAGAUAUCAGGAGGAACACCGGUGGCGAAGGCGGGUCUCUGGGUAGUAACUGACGCUGAGGAGCGAAAGCGUGGGUAGCGAACAGGAUUAGAUACCCUGGGUAGUCCACGCCGUAAAACGGUGGGUACUA